RNAcentral lists this transfer RNA (74 nucleotides) under Actinomycetota bacterium. Its description in RNAcentral is "tRNA-Leu". It matches the Rfam family "tRNA". Rfam says of the family: Transfer RNA (tRNA) molecules are approximately 80 nucleotides in length. The record is from RNAcentral. Lineage: Bacteria; Bacillati; Actinomycetota.
GCCCCUGUAGACCAACUGGUAGAGUCGCCGCUCUUAAACAGCGGACAGUGUGGGUUCGACUCCCACCGGGGGCA